Paramuricea clavata is the source of this 352-nucleotide non-coding RNA. The record is from the annotation of a GenBank genome assembly. NCBI's taxonomy places the organism in Eukaryota, Metazoa, Cnidaria, Anthozoa, Malacalcyonacea, Plexauridae.
GAAGAGCAUUGGGCUAGUAUUCCAAAGGUCGUAGGUUCGAAUCCCACCGUGGCCGGGCAUAUUUUUCAAGCUCGCCCGGUGUGGAUAUGCACUCAGAGUAACAUCGCAAACAUAUUAUUCACCUGAGUACACAACACCAACACAGAAAAAAAAAAAUUCAUAUUACAAGAACACAUUGGUAUUGAAGGAACUAGAUACUGUUCCGAAAUAUCACUUACUCGAACCGUCCUGACCGCGUAGCUCAGUUGGAAGAGCAUUGGGCUAGUAUUCCAAAGGUCGUAGGUUCGAAUCCCACCGUGGCCGGGCAUAUUUUCAAGCUCGCCCGGUGUGGAUAUGCACUCAGAGUAACAUC